UUAAACGGUAGGGUAUUGGCCUACCGUGGCAAUGACGGGUAACGGGGAAUUAGGGUUCGAUUCCGGAGAGGGAGCCUGAGAAACGGCUACCACAUCUAAGGAAGGCAGCAGGCGCGCAAAUUACCCAAUCCUAAUACAGGGAGGUAGUGACAAGAAAUAACAAUACAGGACUUUUUGGUUUUGUAAUUGUAAUGAGGUAAUAAAAC
This 206-nucleotide ribosomal RNA is filed under the name Cryptosporidium parvum. RNAcentral's name for it is "partial 18S ribosomal RNA". It matches the Rfam family "Eukaryotic small subunit ribosomal RNA", at positions 321 to 528 of the family's 1831-position model. The record is from RNAcentral. Lineage: Eukaryota; Apicomplexa; Conoidasida; Eucoccidiorida; Cryptosporidiidae.